Pyrus x bretschneideri (Chinese white pear) is the source of this 717-nucleotide long non-coding RNA. RefSeq lists it as uncharacterized. The record is from RefSeq and is a predicted model, not a curated record. The transcript is spliced from 2 exons. NCBI's taxonomy places the organism in Eukaryota, Viridiplantae, Streptophyta, Magnoliopsida, Rosales, Rosaceae.
AAUAAAUUGCAUUUAAGUAAAUAAAGCUUAUGACAAUGUCUUUAAUUCAACACCAUUCACAUAAAUCAAAACUUAAAUCAGUAGGCGGUAAAACCGUCUAUGGUAAAUAAAUUGCUUUAAAAUAAAUAGAAUUUGUAAAAUGAUUUUAAGCUAACACCAUUCACAUAAAUAAAAGGUAUCAUACCUUUGUUUUUAUUUUUAUUUUUAUUUUUUUUUAUGUCGGCACCCUUUCAAACCUUUUCUUCCUUUUUAUUUAUUAUUUCCUUGGUGAUGAUGCAUCAUGUUCCCUCUUCCUUUUUUUUUUAUUAUUUAUUUUCUUUGUUAUAUUUUCAAAAAGUCUCAUUGCUUUUGCCUUAUCCUCUAGCUCCUCCACAUAAUACUUCUUCCUCUGCUUAGAAAGCUGAGCACUUUCUUUGUUUCUCAUCAGUCUCGCCUUCCUCGUUCAGCGGUGUGCUCAGAGGACAUAUCAGCAAUAAAAGAAGGAACAACAGGUACUGGGCAGAUGAACAAUUUUGAAGAAGAAAGUAUUUCAAUCCGAUCUUUGCAAGUUGGAGUUCUGACGCUGUUUACAUGGCUGUCAAAUUCUCUACGAAUUUUGAGUCUGUACUCUUUUGCUUCUGCAAAGGAUGAUAUACAAUCAUACAACAUCAUAUAUAUAUGUGCUUCAGGAAAAUCAGUAGUACAAAGAUUUUAAGAUGAAAUGAAAAGAUUUUCUUA